Hordeum vulgare subsp. vulgare (domesticated barley) is the source of this 124-nucleotide non-coding RNA. Lineage: Eukaryota; Viridiplantae; Streptophyta; Magnoliopsida; Poales; Poaceae. The record is from Rfam.
CAAAUACUCCCUCAGUCUGGAAAUACUUGUCCUAGAAAUGGAUACAGUGGAUGUAUCUAUAACUAAAAUAACUCUAGACACAUCCAUUUGUAGGACAAGUAUUUCCGAACGGAGGGAGUAUUAA